GAUGAACGCUAGCGGCAGGCCUAACACAUGCAAGUCGAACGGUAACAGGAAUUAGCUUGCUAAUUUGCUGACGAGUAGCGCACGGGUGCGUAACGCGUAUACAAUCUACCUUUUGCUGAGGGAUAGCCCAGAGAAAUUUGGAUUAAUGCCUCAUAGUAUGUCGACCUCGCAUGAGGAUGAUAUUAAAGGUUACGGCAAAAGAUGAGUAUGCGUUCUAUUAGCUAGAUGGUGUGGUAACGGCACACCAUGGCAACGAUAGAUAGGGGCCCUGAGAGGGGGAUCCCCCACACUGGUACUGAGACACGGACCAG
Molecule: ribosomal RNA, 311 nt
Filed under: uncultured bacterium
Lineage: Bacteria
Description: bacterial SSU rRNA
Rfam family: Bacterial small subunit ribosomal RNA
Source: RNAcentral